AUGGGUCUAGAGACUUGGUUUUAACCCAAGAUUUCAAGAUAGCAAAAAGCCCAACUUGGGUAACAGAGAACUGGGCGCGCGCGAGAGAGACGCAGAGAGCGAGAAAAAUAGAUAUGAAACUGAAAAAAGGGAUUCAAUUUAUGUGAAUAGGCUAAGUGCAAGCCCAUGAUUAUUCUGAUUGAUUUGAUUCUGCACAAGAAGAAAGCUUAUACCCAUUUGCUGUAUAAUGUGAUUGACUCGCAAGCUCCCGCCUUUCAGGGUUUAGUGGAAUUCAACUUUCGGGUUUCUUCUUUUGGAUGCUUGUUUCCAUUCUAAUCGUUUUACAGGUCUGGAAAUGUUCUUCUGUGAUUUUGAUCAUUGAUUUAUUUGUAUGAUCCUCCAAUACUGUGUCACUCAAAGGUUAGAUGAUGAAGCAUUUACAGUCUUGGACAUCAUUUUACAGUUUUCAAUUUCAAUAUCUAUGUCACUA
Molecule: long non-coding RNA, 469 nt
Organism: Rosa rugosa (rugosa rose)
Lineage: Eukaryota; Viridiplantae; Streptophyta; Magnoliopsida; Rosales; Rosaceae
Exons: 3
Source: RefSeq, a predicted model, not a curated record